UACGGAGGGUGCAAGCGUUAAUCGGAAUUACUGGGCGUAAAGCGUGCGCAGGCGGCUUUGCAAGACAGAUGUGAAAUCCCCGGGCUCAACCUGGGAACUGCAUUUGUGACUGCAUGGCUUGAGUGCGGCAGAGGGGGAUGGAAUUCCGCGUGUAGCAGUGAAAUGCGUAGAUAUGCGGAGGAACACCGAUGGCGAAGGCAAUCCCCUGGGCCUGCACUGACGCUCAUGCACGAAAGCGUGGGGAGCAAACAGG
RNAcentral lists this ribosomal RNA (253 nucleotides) under uncultured bacterium. RNAcentral describes it as "partial 16S ribosomal RNA". It matches the Rfam family "Bacterial small subunit ribosomal RNA", at positions 524 to 776 of the family's 1533-position model. The record is from RNAcentral.